CAAUAGCGUAUAUUAAAGUUGUUGCAGUUAAAAAGCUCGUAGUUGGAUUUCGGAGCCGACCGGGCGGUCUGUCGAGAGACACGCACUGCUCGGUGGCUCUUCCUCUCGGAGGCCCUGGCUGCCCUUAACUGGAGCGGGCAGGGGAUUCGGGACGUUUACUUUGAAAAAAUUAGAGUGUUCAAAGCAGGCCGGUGCUUGGAUACAUUAGCAUGGAAUAAUGGAAUAGGGCUUGGGUCCUAUUUUGUUGGUUUUCGGGACCGAGGUCAUGGUUAAGAGGGACAGUUGGGGGCAUUCGUAUUCAAUUGUCAGAGGUGAAAUUCUUGGAUUUAUGGAAGACGAACAACUGCGAAAGCGUUUGCCAAGGAUGUUUUCAUUAA
This 377-nucleotide ribosomal RNA is filed under the name uncultured eukaryote. Its description in RNAcentral is "partial 18S ribosomal RNA". It matches the Rfam family "Eukaryotic small subunit ribosomal RNA", at positions 592 to 976 of the family's 1831-position model. The record is from RNAcentral.